This 477-nucleotide ribosomal RNA is filed under the name Candidatus Scalindua brodae. RNAcentral's name for it is "bacterial SSU rRNA". It matches the Rfam family "Bacterial small subunit ribosomal RNA", at positions 365 to 832 of the family's 1533-position model. Lineage: Bacteria; Pseudomonadati; Planctomycetota; Candidatus Brocadiia; Candidatus Brocadiales; Candidatus Scalinduaceae. The record is from RNAcentral. RNAcentral also lists the same sequence under 1 other name.
UUCGCAAUGCCCGAAAGGGUGACGAAGCGACGCCGCGUGGGUGAGGAAGGCCUUCGGGUUGUAAAGCCCUGUCAGGAGUUAAGAAAUGUAGACUCGCUAAUAUCGGGUCUAUUUGACAAAGGCUCCAAAGGAAGCCACGGCUAACUCUGUGCCAGCAGCCGCGGUAAUACAGAGGUGGCAAGCGUUGUUCGGAAUUAUUGGGCGUAAAGAGCACGUAGGUGGAUUUGUAAGUCAGACGUGAAAGCCUUCUGUUCAACGGAAGAAUUGCAUCUGAAACUACAAACCUUGAGUGUAGGAGGGGAGAAUGGAACCUCUGGUGGAGCGGUGAAAUGCGUAGAUAUCAGAAGGAACGCCGGCGGCGAAAGCGACUCUCUGGCCUAUUACUGACACUGAGUGUGCGAAAGUUAGGGGAGCAAACGGGAUUAGAUACCCCGGUAGUCCUAGCCGUAAACGAUGGGCACUAAGUAGAGGGGUUUU